RNAcentral lists this ribosomal RNA (303 nucleotides) under uncultured bacterium. RNAcentral describes it as "partial 16S ribosomal RNA". It matches the Rfam family "Bacterial small subunit ribosomal RNA", at positions 507 to 807 of the family's 1533-position model. The record is from RNAcentral.
AGCAGUAGCCGCGGGAAUACGUAGGGUGCGAGCGUUAAUCGGAAUUACUGGGCGUAAAGCGUGCGCAGGCGGUUGUGUAAGACAGGUGUGAAAUCCCCGGGCCUAACCUGGGAACUGCGCUUGUGACUGCACAGCUAGAGUAUGGCAGAGGGGGGUGGAAUUCCACGUGUAGCAGUGAAAUGCGUAGAGAUGUGGAGGAACACCGAUAGCGAAGGCAGCCCCCUGGGCCAAUACUGACGCUCAUGCACGAAAGCGUGGGGAGCAAAUGGGAUUAGAUACCCCGGUAGUCCCUGUCUCUUAUAC